RNAcentral lists this unclassified non-coding RNA (220 nucleotides) under uncultured Rubrobacterales bacterium. Its description in RNAcentral is "contains 16S-23S intergenic spacer region". Lineage: Bacteria; Bacillati; Actinomycetota; Rubrobacteria; Rubrobacterales. The record is from RNAcentral.
UCCGGUUUGUCACCGGCAGUCUCGCGUGAGUCCCCAACUUAAUGCUGGCAACACGCGACAAGGGUUGCGCUCGUUGCGGGACUUAACCCAACAUCUCACGACACGAGCUGACGACAGCCAUGCAGCAUCUGUGGUGCACCCUCGAAGGUCACACGUUUCCGUGCGCUUGCAGCACCAUGUCAAGCCCAGGUAAGGUGGGGAUGACGUAUGCGUAACAGAA